This 293-nucleotide ribosomal RNA is filed under the name uncultured bacterium. Its description in RNAcentral is "partial 16S ribosomal RNA". It matches the Rfam family "Archaeal small subunit ribosomal RNA", at positions 455 to 747 of the family's 1478-position model. The record is from RNAcentral.
GUGCCAGCCGCCGCGGUAAUACCGGCAGCUCAAGUGAUGUCCCAUAUUAUUGGGCCUAAAGCGUCCGUAGCUGGCCGUGCGGGUCCGUCGGGAAAUCCGCCCGCUUAACGGGCGGACGUCCGGCGGAAACCAUACGGCUUGGGACCAGAGGACCCGAGGGGCACGUCGGGGGUAGGAGUGAAAUCCCGAGAUCCUCGACGGACCGCCGGUGGCGAAAGCGCCUCGGGAAGAUGGAUCCGACGGUCAGGGACGAAAGCUGGGGUCUCGAACCGGAUUAGAUACCCCAGUAGUCC